GGGAGCUAACAGGACUAGAUACCCUGGUAGUCUACGACCGUAAACGAGUGCGCAACUAGGUUCGAGACAUACUGACGGCCAUCGUGCCGAAGCAAAAGUCCUCAGUGCGGCCGCCUGGGGAGUACGGCCGCAAGGCUAGAACUCAAAGGAAUUGACGGGGGCUCACACAAACGGUGGAGCAUGUGGAUCAAUUCGAAGCAACGCGAAGGACCUUACCUGGGUUGGACACUGCUCGGAUGCCCUUCUGGGAACACGGAGUAGAGCUUGCCUUCGGCUGAAACGUGCACAGCUGUUGCAUGCCUGUCGUCAGAUAGUGCUGUGAAAUGUCGGGUUAAGUCCCUUCCCGAGCGAAACCCUGCUAGCUAGUUACCAGCGGGUCAUGCCGGGAACUCUAGCGAGACUACCGGCGUUAAGCCGGAGGAAGGUGGGGAUGACGUCACAGUCAUCAUGCACUUUAUGCCCAGGGUGUCACACGUGAUACAAUGGGGCGUACAGAGCGACGCAAGACCCUGAGGUGGAGCAAAUCGCAGCAAGCGUCCCUCAGUUCGGAUCGGGGUCUGCAACUCGACCCCGUGAAGUUGGAAUCGCUAGUAAUCGCGUAUCAGCCAUGACGCGUUGUAUACGUUCUUGAGCCUGGUACACACCGUCGCACGUCAAGUCAUGGUAGCUGGGAGUUCCCGAAGUCCCUGCGUUUCACCAGUGCCGACAGGUAAGCCUGGUCACUGGGACUAAGUCGUAACAAGUAACNC
RNAcentral lists this ribosomal RNA (749 nucleotides) under uncultured organism. RNAcentral describes it as "bacterial SSU rRNA". It matches the Rfam family "Bacterial small subunit ribosomal RNA", at positions 764 to 1501 of the family's 1533-position model. The record is from RNAcentral.